This 64-nucleotide transfer RNA is filed under the name Solen strictus (Gould's razor shell). RNAcentral describes it as "tRNA-His". Lineage: Eukaryota; Metazoa; Mollusca; Bivalvia; Adapedonta; Solenidae. The record is from RNAcentral.
CACACAGUAGUUUAAGAAGAAUGAUGCAUUGUGGAUGUAUUGGUCAGAUGUUAUGGCUGCGUGU